UAGGGUGUAUGUUGCCUUCUUCUUGA
RNAcentral lists this transfer RNA (26 nucleotides) under Phalanger gymnotis. RNAcentral describes it as "partial tRNA-Pro". The record is from RNAcentral. Lineage: Eukaryota; Metazoa; Chordata; Mammalia; Diprotodontia; Phalangeridae.